GACAGAGGGUGCAACCGUUGCUCGGAAUUACUGGGCGUAAAGCGCGUGUAGGCUGACCGGAAAGUCGGGCGUGAAAUCCCUGAGCUCAACUCAGGAACUGCACUCGAAACUCUCGGUCUAGAGUGGUGGAGAGGGAAGUGGAAUUCCUGGUGUAGAGGUGAAAUUCGUAGAUAUCAGGAGGAACACCAGUGGCGAAGGCGGCUUCCUGGACACCAACUGACGCUGAGACGCGAAAGCGUGGGGAGCAAACAGG
Molecule: ribosomal RNA, 253 nt
Filed under: uncultured bacterium
Lineage: Bacteria
Description: partial 16S ribosomal RNA
Rfam family: Bacterial small subunit ribosomal RNA
Source: RNAcentral